GCCUGUUUAUCAAAAACAUGGCCUUUUGUGAAUAAUUUAAGGUCUGGCCUGCCCAAUGAUUUGGUUAAAUGGCCGCGGUACUCUGACCGUGCAAAGGUAGCAUAAUCAUUAGUUUUUUAAUUGAAAGCUGGUAUGAACGGUCGGACAAGAAAAUUACUGUCUCAAUUUAAUGGUUUUAGAAUUUUAUUUUUUAGUCAGAAGGCUAAAAUGGUCUUAAGGGACGAGAAGACCCUAUAGAAUUUUAUAAAUUUUAUUGGGUUGGGUUUUUAGGUUUAUUAGUUAGACUUAGUAAAAUUUAUUUUGUUGGGGUGAUGGAAAAAUUUAAGAAACUUUUUUUGUAAAAAAAUCAUUAAUUUAUGAUUGGGUGAUCCGUUUAUAGCGAUUACAAGAUUAAAUUACCUUAGGGAUAACAGCGUUAUUAGUCUGGGGAGUUCUUAUCGAUAGACUAGUUUGCGACCUCGAUGUUGGAUUAAAAUAAACUUUUGGUGUAGGGGCUGGAAAGUUAAGUCUGUUCGACUUUUAAAAUUUUACAUGAUCUGAGUUCAGACCGG
RNAcentral lists this ribosomal RNA (551 nucleotides) under Serrognathus reichei clypeatus. RNAcentral describes it as "partial 16S ribosomal RNA". It matches the Rfam family "Bacterial large subunit ribosomal RNA", at positions 1798 to 2619 of the family's 2925-position model. The record is from RNAcentral. Lineage: Eukaryota; Metazoa; Arthropoda; Insecta; Coleoptera; Lucanidae.